This is a non-coding RNA of Podarcis muralis (Common wall lizard), 3215 nucleotides long. The record is from RefSeq and is a predicted model, not a curated record. NCBI's taxonomy places the organism in Eukaryota, Metazoa, Chordata, Lepidosauria, Squamata, Lacertidae.
UAAAUAGUUACCCAAUAAAAACGAGGGAUAUCUACAAUAAUUGUAUGAGACCUUAGACCAUUUUUAUAGAUCUCACUUUGCUAGGCAUAGCUUAAUAUGUCACGGCACUGUCACCUGUACAACAUGAGAAUUAUUUAGGUGAAAUGUUUGGAUUCUGCAAUCUUACCUCAAUCAGCAUCACAACUAAAAAAUAAUAAUAAAGUUACAAUCUCUCACUAACUGCAGUAAAAAAAUCUGAACAAUGUAUAACAUUCCCCAACAUCGGAUUUACGAUCACUCACAAGCUACAAGGUGAUUGGUUCUGUCAUCUUGUGCUGUAGAAAUACUAAAGAAACCAAGGACCAAUCACAGGCUAGCAGAACUCAGAGUGGCACAGAAUGCUUGCAUCUGAUUGGAGUCGCUAUAGGGACCAGGAUUGUUUUUAUUCCUUCUCCCGGAUGUUUGAGGGGAAGGAGGCAACUGAGGCAGCAAGGAGAAGAGGAGAAAAGACAGAAAACUUUGUGAAGGAUGUGGAGAAAGGGUGCUGUGCAGCCCGUGAGGCUGCAAGAGGUGGAGGUUGUAGGGCUUCUCACAGAACCCUCCUUUCACAUGGCAAAAUGUGCAGCAGAGCCUGCCCCCCCCCCAGCCUCAAAAUCUAUUCCAAGGGGUCUGGGGACCCUCCAGAGCAUAUUAUGAAGGGCAUACAGGGAGAGGAGACAAAGGAGAAGCCUUCUCAGGGCCUGAGGAAAAGUUUUCCAAACAAGAUAGCAGAGCCAAAAGUGCUUCCUUUACUGCAGUUUGCAUGGGAUGAAUAUUUACAGGAGAAGAAAAAGGAGUUAAAAGGGGAAACAUGGGAAUAUCCUUCCAACGUGAUGUGCUUUAUUGAUGGCCAGCUUGUUGGAGAUGAAAAACAGCUGUUACAGUGGGCCUAUGAUGUUUGGGAUUAUGAGGACUUCAAGCCCGUUGCACUUUAUGAAGCAAUUACACAGGAUUUCCUCACUAAAUACAUGAGAAACAAGCAGCAUGUGUUUGUGUACUUUGAAAUAUCUAUUCAGGCAGAGCCUAAAGGAAAAUUGCUAUUUGAGCUCUAUUCUGAUAUCUGUCCCAGGACAUGUAAAAACUUCCAGUAUUUGUGUUCAGGGGAGAAAAAGAAGUCUAUGUCUGGGCUUCCACUCACUUACCGUGAUUCUAUCUUUCACCGACUUGUAAAAAAUGGCUGGAUACAAGGAGGAGACAUAAGGGGAGGAAGAGGGACUGGAGGCGAGUCAAUUUAUGGACCUUUUUUUGAAGAUGAAAGUUUUGCAGUUCUCCAUGACAAGAGAGGUGUUCUGGGAAUGGCCAACAAAGGACGCCACAGCAAUGCAUCUCAGUUCUACAUCACACUACAGCCAGCACCCUACUUGAAUGAGAAAUAUGUGGCUUUUGGACAGCUGAUCGAGGGCUCAGAAGUUCUCCGGGAACUGGAAGCAGUGGAAACAUUCAACGAGAGGCCAGUUGUAGAAUGUAAAAUUGUUAACUGUGGAGUAUUUCAGCCAUAGCCAUGGAUGUUAGAUAUAUUUUGUUUUACUGUAAUGCAUGACAGUGUUGUUUUCUGAACAUAGGAUUUACUUCUGUUAAUUUUUUUGAGGGGGUUAAAUAUAAAAGCAUUUUUUUUCACUUUGAAAAAAGAAAAGAAAAACAUGUUGUCUCCUUUUCCAUGGCAAAUAGUUUCAUUGCCAAAACAGCCUUAUACUUGAGACUACAGGAUCUUGGGAACCUAAUGUAAUGUAUUAAUGUGACCACUAUGCAGGGAGCUCUCUUAAGUGCACCCAGGGAGCUGCAUAUGUGCAUCAGGACUCCAUCUUGUUUUCUUUAAGCAACAGCCUCCCAGUUCUGGACCAUACACUGCUUGUGAAACUCUUCUCAAAAGCUAGAGCUACGAUUCCUAGUACCCUCAACAAACUACAGUUCCCAGGAUUCACUGGGUGUUUUAUCACAACAGUCCUGUGGGUGAAGGCCACAUUAAACGCAGCCUUGAAGGAACAGGAGGUACAAGUGCAGCAUUCUUCUUGUCACUUCACAUCUCCAUGUUGUCUGACAAUUUUAUUUAUCUGGACAUUUAGAACCUUCCUUUCUGUGAGGAAAUCAAGUAGGUUCAUUGCACAAGACCUAUUAAGUUAUUUCACAAUUUGAAUUUUCCAGUAUGUGACUGAAUCCCACCUGAAAAUAGUGAGUGUAGAAGCACCCCAAAUUUCAUACUUGCACCUUUCAGAAGAUUAGUAGUAGUGAGCUGUGCACAAGCUGUUUACUUCUCUGCUAUUACUGAUACUCUCAUUGAGGAAUGUCAGUAUUCCUGGAACACUAUUUGCAAGCUGCUCUGUAGGUCAAUUUCCACCUAAAAAGAAUAAUCAGCCAGGAAAGUGGUGCUGUAACUGGAAUCGACAUUCUUUCUAUCACCCUCUUACAAUUUUAAGUGCAUACACAGCCUUUCUGUACACCGUUGUCCCUGGCCUUGUAUCUGGACUGAAGUUUUGCUUCAGUCACACAGAGUUAAUUUAAGAUGUUUUGCUGCCCUAAGCAGAUGAACUGCAUGGUCCAAUUGGUGUGACCAGGGCUUCUUGGUAAUGUCGCACAGGAUCCUGGCCGUCAUGUGUGGCCACCUGGAGCAGACCAAGCCUUGUGCCUCGAUAUCCUCUGCAUAUAAGCAUUGCAGUACUGUAUUACAAAGCGUGCACCUAUAUGCAACACCAGAGAAGCUGCUUGGUUUCUUAGUCUGCCCAGUCAGCUCUCCUGUUAAAGACUGACUUCAAGUCCUCUGGCAGUCAUUAUCCCUCACCCUUGGUUGUUAGUCCGUUUUUAACGAGAUAUUUUACAUUGUUGUGACGCGCCCUGGGACCUUGCAGCGAAGGGCAAGUAACCUAAUACAAAAAUAAUUUUUGGCUCAGGACUUAAUGCAUCGUCUUCAACGUCUCUGCUUUUAGGUGAUAUUGUGCAGCUCGCCUGCAUUUGGUGGGCAGCGGGGCUUCUGCUCAUUCUACUGAGUGGAGUUUAAGCCCUGCCAUCACUACUGCCCGUCUGGUUUUUGCGGCUUGCUAAACGCAAAGCGUAAUUCUGACGCUGCCCAAGGUCAAGAACUAAUCGCUUUUCUCCUAUCACAAAGCUAUUUAAGUGAUCCCUGCGCCAAAGAUCAAUAUUGAUCUUUCAACGACACCCGCGUCUACAAAGCAACCCAUGAUCUAAUUUUCGCACGAAUUGAG